Molecule: ribosomal RNA, 254 nt
Filed under: uncultured bacterium
Lineage: Bacteria
Description: partial 16S ribosomal RNA
Rfam family: Bacterial small subunit ribosomal RNA
Source: RNAcentral
CACGUAGGGACCAAGCGUUGUCCGGAUUCAUUGGGCGUAAAGAGCUCGUAGGCGGCUCAGCAAGUCGGGUGUGAAACCUCCAGGCUCAACCUGGAGACGCCACCCGAUACUGCUGUGGCUAGAGUCCAGUAGGGGAGCGUGGAAUUCCUGGUGUAGCGGUGAAAUGCGUAGAUAUCUGGAGGAACACCGGUGGCGAAGGCGGCAUCCUGGACCGGUAUUGACGCUGAGGCGCGAAAGCCAGGGGAGCAAACGGG